Molecule: transfer RNA, 87 nt
Filed under: Pseudomonadota bacterium
Lineage: Bacteria; Pseudomonadati; Pseudomonadota
Also listed under: 1 other name
Description: Proteobacteria bacterium (cold seep metagenome) tRNA-Leu
Rfam family: tRNA
About the family: Transfer RNA (tRNA) molecules are approximately 80 nucleotides in length. Their secondary structure includes four short double-helical elements and three loops (D, anti-codon, and T loops).
Source: RNAcentral
GCGAGAGUGGCGGAACUGGUAGACGCACUGGACUUAGGAUCCAGCGCACUAGCGUGCAUGGGGGUUCAACUCCCCCCUCUCGCACCA